Molecule: long non-coding RNA, 367 nt
Filed under: Actinidia chinensis (golden kiwifruit)
Lineage: Eukaryota; Viridiplantae; Streptophyta; Magnoliopsida; Ericales; Actinidiaceae
Description: long non-coding RNA (ACHI_LNC001853)
Source: RNAcentral
CAAAGUUGGUUCUUAUGGCAUCUAGGAGAAACAACUAUAUGAGGGAAGCUCAAUGGGCGUAUCCUCUCAUGCUAAGAACACCAGGCAAGAGGGGAACAAAGCUACUAGACGAUGCUCACAGGGAGACCGUGGGCCCCUCUGAGCAAAAGCUAGGUCAGUCUCUCUCUACUGGCAGUAAAGAUUGCAAGGAUGCGGCCAUAAGGCGCAUGUAGGCCGAAAUGGAAGAAAUGUGGUUGGUCUUGAUGGCUAACAACCUAAAAAUGCCUGCCCACAAGGCAAGUGAAAUGUCAUCUGAGGUGAGGUCAGUUAGGUGAAAGACCUCACCUCGGGGUGGCUCGAAGGGGAAGCAAGCUCUGUCGUACUAGGA